RNAcentral lists this long non-coding RNA (1295 nucleotides) under Cricetulus griseus (Chinese hamster). Its description in RNAcentral is "lncRNA (ENSCGRG00015033962.1)". The stretch from base 1 to 124 matches the Rfam family "U11 spliceosomal RNA". The record is from RNAcentral. Lineage: Eukaryota; Metazoa; Chordata; Mammalia; Rodentia; Cricetidae.
UCUGUCGUGAGUGGCACACGUAGGGCAACCAGAUUGCUCUACGUGCGGAAUCGACAUCAAGAGAUUUCGGAAGCAUAAUUUUUUGAUACCUGGGCAGCUGGUGAUCGUUGGUCCCGGCGCCUGAGUCUUAUGUGUAAGAUAAGGAUUGAUUAUCUAUUGCUUUGUCUAUGAGGGGCCUUUGUGUCUACGUGUUUAUUCUUCGUACUACUUAAACAUUUGGGAAACUAACCAAGGAGAGAGAGAACUGUAGGGGGUUUUCUCGAUUAUUAAGUACCAUUGUAGGUGUCCGUGACUAUUACCCCGUUUGGGAAAGCCCAAAAGGAGUUUGUCAGGUAAUUCGAAUGUGGGAGUCAAAGUUGUGUUAACUGGGCAAACAAAAAGACCCAGAGACAGAUAUUGGGGUUCAAGCUGGAAACCAGAAAUGGAAAGCACGUGGUCUUUAACUCAGACCACCGUGGUGCGAGCCUCACACUCACUGCUCUGACUUCAUUGGUCCUCAGGUUCUAUCAGACUGCUAUGCUCUCCUCAAGGUGGCUUGGACCCUGUUCCUGUUUUAUGUAACUCUAAUGAGGCAGGUGAUCUUUGUGUAAACUGUUUCUUUUCAAAACUGCACCAGCCAGGCGUUGCACGCCUUUAAUCCCAGCAGAGGCAGGUGGGUCUCUGUGAGUUCGAGGCCGGCCUGGUCUCCAGAGUGAGUGGCAGGAUAGGCUCCGAAGCUACACAGAGAAACCCUGUCUCAAAUAAAACAAAACAAAACAUUUCCUUGUGUUCUGUCAUAUUGGUGCUGGGAAUUGAACUCUUCUGGAAGAGCAGACAAGUGCUCUUCACCUCUGAGCUGUCUCUUCAGCCCUCAUUAGCGAUUUUUUUUGUUCCCUUUUAAAUUGUUUUUGGUUUAUAUGUGUGAGUGCUUUGUCUACAUGCAUACCUGGUAAAGAGUAUAUUGGAUUUCCUGAGAUUUAGAAUUGAAGAGAAGUAUGAGUUACCAUGUAGGUGCUGGGAAUUGAACCUUGGUCCUCUGGAAGAGCAGCCAGUGCUCUUAACCACUGAGCCAUCUCUCCAGCCAGCCCUCCAACCCUAACUGAUCAUUUAUUUAUUUAUUUAUUUAUUUAUUUAUUUAUUUAUUUAUUUGUGUUUCUAGACAGGGUUUCUCUGUGUAGCUUUGGAGCCUAUCCUGGCACUCGCACUGGAGACCAGGCUGGCCUCAAACUCACAGAGAUCCACCUCUGCCUCCCGAGUGCUGGGACUAAAGGCGUGUGCCACCAACGCCCGGCAACUGAUUUUUUUUUUUUUUUUUU